AUGUUCCGGGAGGUCCAGCAGCUCCCAGCACGAGGCUCCCUGGUUUUCCAACCCCUCUCCAUCUCCACGCAUCGUUACGUCGUGAUGGGAAACGACUUCGCCCCGAGUCGUGUUUAUCGCCUCGGCCCUACGGGACGUUUAGAACCCGCCCAGGAAUUGUUGACCCCAUCCCCGAGGGCUUUCGCCCCCAUUUCGGUGGGCGACGAUCAUUUUUUAGUGGCUUCCAGUUUUAAAGGAGCCACUCAGAUCUACCGGCACGUGACGGUGGACGUGGGGACGUGAGGGGUGGGGGNNNNNNNNNNNNNNNNNNNNNNNNNNNNNNNNNNNNUAAAGGAUGUGGGGUGAUGGAAUGUGGCGGUGGUGUGGUGUCAGUGUGGGGACGGGGGGACAGCGGGGGGGACGUGGGGGAUGUGGGGACAUCGUGGAGGACGUGGGGACAGCGGGUGGUCAUGGAGGACAUGGGGACAUGGGGACAUCAGGUGGUCAUGAAGGACGUGGGGACAUGAUGGAGGACAUGGGGACAUUGGGUGGUCAUGGAGGACGUGGGGACAUCAUGGAGGACAUGGGGACAUCAUGGAGGACGGGGGGACAUCAUGGAGGACAUGGGGACAUCAGGUGGACAUGAAGGAUGUGGGGACAUCAUGGAGGACAUGGGGACAUUGUGGAGGACGUGGGGACAGCGGGUGGUCAUGGAGGACAUGGGGACAUCAUGGGGGACGUGGGGACAUCGUGGAGGACGUGGGGACAUGAGGACAUCAUGGAGGACGUGGGGACAGCGGGUGGUCAUGGGGGACGUGGGGACAUGGGGACAUCAGGUGGUCAUGGAGGAUGU
This 832-nucleotide long non-coding RNA is filed under the name Phasianus colchicus (ring-necked pheasant). RNAcentral's name for it is "lncRNA (ENSPCLG00000022237.1)". Lineage: Eukaryota; Metazoa; Chordata; Aves; Galliformes; Phasianidae. The record is from RNAcentral.